Molecule: long non-coding RNA, 290 nt
Filed under: Macaca fascicularis (crab-eating macaque)
Lineage: Eukaryota; Metazoa; Chordata; Mammalia; Primates; Cercopithecidae
Description: lncRNA (ENSMFAG00000059920.1)
Source: RNAcentral
UUUUGGUAGGGGAAAGGAGGAGAGGUUACAGAAGGCUUACUCGUGUUGGAGGGAGGAAGGGAGGCUGUAGAACAUGGAAGCCAAUUCUCCUGAUCCAAUGAGUCUGUUUCAAGGACUGCUCUGGCCUGGACUUUGGGUCCUGUGGCCUAGAAGUAAAGGGACCAGAUUUUAGUCAGGCCUCAGGACAGAAGCCAAGCCAGUCAAAUCAGGAGGAGGUGCGUGAGGUAUGUGUGUAUGUCUGCGGGUGGGGAGAGGUGUCAUGUGGGGACCAGGAGCUGCCCAAUAUUGAG